RNAcentral lists this transfer RNA (76 nucleotides) under Armatimonadota bacterium. Its description in RNAcentral is "tRNA-Pro". It matches the Rfam family "tRNA". From Rfam's summary of the family: Transfer RNA (tRNA) molecules are approximately 80 nucleotides in length. Their secondary structure includes four short double-helical elements and three loops (D, anti-codon, and T loops). Further hydrogen bonds mediate the characteristic L-shaped molecular structure. tRNAs have two regions of fundamental functional importance: the anti-codon, which is responsible for specific mRNA codon recognition, and the 3' end, to which the tRNAs corresponding amino acid is attached (by aminoacyl-tRNA synthetases). tRNAs cope with the degeneracy of the genetic code in two manners: having more than one tRNA (with a specific anti-codon) for a particular amino acid; and 'wobble' base-pairing, i.e. permitting non-standard base-pairing at the 3rd anti-codon position. The record is from RNAcentral. Lineage: Bacteria; Bacillati; Armatimonadota.
CGGGGCGUAGCGCAGAGGUUAGCGCGCUGGGUUCGGGACCCAGAGGUCGCCGGUUCAAAUCCGGCCGCCCCGACCA